UUGAAUGACUUUGCUCCCUUUUCCCACAC
RNAcentral lists this non-coding RNA (29 nucleotides) under Mus musculus (house mouse). The record is from RNAcentral. Lineage: Eukaryota; Metazoa; Chordata; Mammalia; Rodentia; Muridae.